Molecule: ribosomal RNA, 165 nt
Filed under: Saturnispora saitoi
Lineage: Eukaryota; Fungi; Ascomycota; Pichiomycetes; Pichiales; Pichiaceae
Description: partial 18S rRNA
Rfam family: Eukaryotic small subunit ribosomal RNA
Source: RNAcentral
GGGCCGCACGCGCGCUACACUGACGGAGCCAGCAAGCUACCUUGCCGAGAGGCCUGGGUAAUCUCGUGAAACUCCGUCGUGCUGGGGAUAGAGCAUUGUAAUUUUUGCUCUUCAACGAGGAAUUCCUAGUAAGCGCAAGUCAUUAGCUUGCGUUGAUUACGUCCC